Molecule: ribosomal RNA, 492 nt
Filed under: uncultured bacterium
Lineage: Bacteria
Description: partial 16S ribosomal RNA
Rfam family: Bacterial small subunit ribosomal RNA
Source: RNAcentral
AGUGAACGCUGGCGGUAGGCCUAACACAUGCAAGUCGAACGGCAGCACAGUAAGAGCUUGCUCUUACGGGUGGCGAGUGGCGGACGGGUGAGGAAUACAUCGGAAUCUACUUUUUCGUGGGGGAUAACGUAGGGAAACUUACGCUAAUACCGCAUACGACCUACGGGUGAAAGCAGGGGAUCUUCGGACCUUGCGCGAUUGAAUGAGCCGAUGUCGGAUUAGCUAGUUGGCGGGGUAAAGGCCCACCAAGGCGACGAUCCGUAGCUGGUCUGAGAGGAUGAUCAGCCACACGGGAACUGGGACACGGUCCAGACUCCUAAGGGAGGCAGCAGUGGGGAAUAUUGGACAAAGGGCGCAAGCCUGAUCCAGCCAUACCGCGUGGGUGAAGAAGGCCUUCGGGUUGUAAAGCCCUUUUGUUGGGAAAGAAAAGCAGCAGGUUAAUACCCCGCUGUUCUGACGGUACCCAAAGAAUAAGCACCGGCUAACUUCGUG